UAAAUAAAACGGAGUCACGAAACUUGUAUUACCAAAAAAAAAAAAUCGUUCUGUGCGUUAUUUCUUUGAUAACAAAAGGUUGAAAAGUGAGUUUCGGUAGACCAAAGGGUGAGUUCGCUAAUUAUUAUAACAUGGUCCUUCGAGCCUUCAGAAAGGCACCUUAAAAAAAAAAAAAAAAGGAAAAUAAUAACAACAAUAAACAAUUUUUUAAUAAAGUAAAGUGCGGUGACUAUCAUACAUAUACUUAAAACUAUACAAGUGGAAAAAAUAAAAAUAAAACAGUGAAGUGAAAAAUACCUAAAACCAAAAAAAAAAAACAGCAACCAAGCCAAAAGGGCUCAGUGAGCUAAGAUUAAAAAAAAAAAAAAAGAAAAGAAAAUUAACAUAUACAGUAUUAGUGCAGUGCAACACAAUUGGAAUAUAUAAUAUAUCCAAUAUAGUGAAGCAAACAAAAACGCGCCAAAAAGAAGGGAAGACCAAACGAAAACAAAACAACAACAACAGCGGGCGCGAAAUUAAAUAAAUCACCAGCGGGCGCGAAACUAAACCGGGCGCGGUUAAUAAAAACAAAGACAACAUACCCGAAGCACAUACAAAAGGCACACAGGAGCAUAGGAGGCAUACUAACUGCGAGGACAAGAACAAUAAGAAACUAAACAUUAGGGCAAGCCACAAAGAAAUACACUCCCCAAAAAUUCCCUUGAUGCGAGAAAGGGUAAGUGUAUCGCUUCCACUUACUUAUAUGCAUGUACAUAUGUAUGUUUAGAAAAAAAAAAAAAACUGUUUUACCAAUUAUAACCCUGUAUUAAUUGUAAACAGUUUCAUCAAAACGAAUCGUAAAAUUUAAUACGGUGCUUUAAAAGACCGAUAUUAAAGUUGAUAAAAUAUAUACUUGUAUUUAAAUUACUAAUGCCUAUGUAUGCUUUUCUUUGUGAACACAAUCACACAAAACAAAUUAAAAUCGUACAAAAUCAUCCAAGUCUCUACUUAUAAUAUUUUCUGGCACCCCUUCUGCUUUUAAAGCAGCAAGCGGAUUGCACUAAUAAGCAAAAGGCAUAUUAAAAAGUACAAAACAAGAAAUAAAAGAAAACAUAAAUGCGGAACAUAUGAUUUACAAAUUGAAGCACACAUACAUACAUAUAUACAUGCAAACCAACUUUCCUUAGCUUGGUAAUUAACGAACAUACUUUUCAUAACUUAUUAGAGGCAAAUAUAGGAACACACAUACGAGUAUAUACAUACCGUCACACAUGUGUGUUGAGUGCAGAAAUUAACUACCUGCAAGUCUCGCCUCACUUUUACCAGUUUAACAAACUUUCCUUCGUCACUUAUUCGAAUCGCGAUUACAACAAUAAAUUGUAUGUAAAUAAAUUGUAUGCCUACAUAGUGUAUACCACACAUACAUAGGACAAAUAAAUUGCGGGAAGUUAAUACAAAUUGGAAAAUAAAUAAACGUUAAAAGAAUUUGCUAACGCGAAUUAACAACAAAACGAGAAAAAAGGAAAAGAAAAUUAUUAUUAUACCAUACCAAGUUUAUUAUUAUUAUAUCAUAUAUACAUAUAUGCACAUAAAUAUUCAUAUACUCAAAGUCCAAAUUGGCAUCAGGUUCAAGCAAUACCCCUUGUAUUUGCACAACAAAAACAAGCAGGUUCGCUUCAUAUUAAAAUAAUUUAAGCAUAGUUAUAUGCAUACGAAGCACAUAUCGUGCACACAUACAUACAUACGUAUAUACAAAAGGUAUUGACCCUUUCCGGCACACAAGUACGAGGGCAUACCAAUAAAUCCGAAAAAAAAAAAAAAUACAUACUCGCAAUACAUUAAAAAAAAAAAAAAGGUUUAGAACAUUUUUUGGCUGAGUCAACUCAUUCAAAGUUAUUCGUUGACUAAGAAAAAUAAAAAUAAAAAAUAUUUUUGGCCCACCUUAAUAUACAUAUAUACGAUAUAUAUAACAUACAUGGAAAGUGGCUAAAAGCUAAAAAUAAAAAUCCUAAAAAUUUAAAAUAUUGUGGAAGUAUAAAAUAUAUUCAGUGCAGUGGGCCGUAAAGUUAUGCUCAAAUACAAACAAGUACACAAGUGCUAAAAAAUUAAUAUAUACGUAUACAAAAUACAACAAUUAGAAACAAAACAAAAAAAAAAAAGAAAGUGUCAACAGAGGUAAAAAGUGCUUGUUACACAAAAUAGAGAAUACAUAUCUCACCUAAUCAAAAAAAAAAAAAAACGGGCGCGAACUAAAUUAAAACUAACUAAAAACAAACACACUUACAAUAAUUUAUACGGGCGCGAGUUCUAACAAGAGUCUAAAAGGAAAAAAAGCAGAUAAGAGAAAGCGGAAUAAACAGCUGGCAUCCAACCAAGAGGAGGAACUGGACAAAACUCACACUCACUUCUGUGUACAACCCAAAAACCCCUAGGGGAAAUCAAAGUGAGUUGUAUCGUUUCCAUUUUUUGGUUUUAAUUUUAUGUAUAUAUGUAUGUAUGUUUGUUAGUAACUACGGUUGCAUACAAAACCGUUUAAGCAACAUUUUAUUUAAACGGAUUUCAAAUAUUUUUUUAUACGGUAUAAAUUAAAUAACCGAUAUUAAAAAACAAAAAAGAAAGGUGAGCUAAAUUUGGUAUUAUACCGCCCACGUAUACUUACCUACGUUUAUGCAACCACUCCAAAAAAAAGAAAAGAUAAUAUUAUCGCACUAUUCAAGUAUUUACCUACUUGUAAUUUUUCCGGCAAUACAUCUUCUACUUCUUAAAGCAGUAAGCUGUAUUGCUCAAAGGAAGUAAUAGGCGCAAUAAAAAUCUUAAAGCAAACAUCAAAAAAAGAGAGAAAGUAUAAACAUACAUAUAUACAUACAUUUAUGCAAUAUAAACAUCACUGUUAAUAUACAUUAACACACAUUGGUUAAAUUAUUUACAUACAUACAUAUAUAUACUUGCAUUUAAGUGCAGAGGUUAAAUACCUGCACAUUACACAUUUCUCUCUUCUUCGGUUUAUUCCGUACUAGGGUGGGUCGAUUCCGGACUUUUUUCGAUUCGGGAUUUCUAAUAGUGCGGAAAAGUUGCCUUAGUACUUCCUGAUUCCAAUGCCACUUUUUGUUUUGAGAUCGGAUUGCAUCUUCAACCCCAACUCCGGCCUUGAAAUUUCGGAAAUUCGCCUAAAAUCGUGAAAUUGUCUACCUAGCUCCUGAAAUACGCAUCUCAUAGCAAAAUGUAUGAAACAAAUGUUAUUUGUCACGUCAUUUGCUUCCGAAAUGUGAUAAUGGACGUAGGACGAACCGUUCCCGAGAUACGAGCGAAAAGGCGGCGCGCCACAGCGCAAGGUGAAAAUUGUUGCAGCUCUCAGCUAACCUGUAUUGGUCACCCAGAACCCACCGCGUGGAUGUGGCUGCUCUUCGGGUUCCUCCCAAGCCCAACCCAACCAACCAACCAUAUGUCAGGCUUGUUUUAGUCUAAAUCUGUGUCAAAUUUAUUGAUAAAUCAGAUUUUGUACUAAACGUUGGCACUUGUUGCCUAGAUUUCAGUGUAGAGCGUAUAAAACGAUCACGGGAUUGGGGGCCAAUAACUUUAGAAGAUGCCUCUGUCACCAGUUUGACGGUUCUCUCGACUGCCACGGUGUGAGAGGGGAAUUCACUAAAUUUCCAUACCUCUGCAGUGUCUCCCGAUAGCCCUUUUAUGAGUUCUUCGUUAGAAACUGAACAAAGAACUGGUGGAACAGUCAAGUGUCAGACUCUGUUGCUCUGGCUGCCAGAAGACGGUCAAGGGCCAACUUUCUGACUUCUAUCCGUUCGUCAGUCAUCAUACUAAGGAAAUGUUUUCUGGAAGAGCACAGAAAGCAUUCUGUUGAAUGGAUGAAUCGACAACCUUGCGCAGUUUAGCAGGUAAGUAUCUCGACCUUUGAAUUGCAGCAUAGAGAUGGCGCGAGCCAUCUUUGAUUGAACUGUUGAAUCUUACUGAGAACCACAAAGGUGAGUAAACUGUAAGUAUGUACUUGACCAAAAUCUUUAUUUCCUUUGUUGGUUUGUCAGUAGAAAUGUAUAAUCUCAGAAUUCUAUUUGCACAGGUGAGCCAGCGAGAUUUGUACAUGUUACCUGGAUGCAUCGACGCUAAAUCUGAGGAACAUUGACCGGAAAUAACAGCUUCUGAUAUUUUAUAGAUAUAAGCUUGGUCUGUGCUAAGUUGCGUCGGAUUAAUAACCUCAGAAGGUAAUUGGUAGGAUGGAAAACUUUCAAAUUUGAGAACAGGCAACUUCUCACAAUCAGGGAGCAGUUUACCUAUGUCGCCAGAGAAUGUAUUUGGACUCUUUGAGAAACCAUCUAUGUGUUCGAAAAGAGCACGAAAUGGAAGUUCGUUGAAAUGUAGAAGACAAACAACCCACUGUAAUGGCCUUGUCUAAAUGACUCUCGGCCUACCCUGUAAUGAAACACAGCCACACCACAUUUCAACACAAAUCAUCAUAACAGCACACCACACUCACCACUCACCUUCCACAUCACUACACAUCACACCAAUACACUCAAACAUGACACCACACUUCCAACUAGAACACAAGAAAAAGGGACGGACAACUCCAGCCACUUCACUUCGCUUUUCCUUUCGUACGAGUCUACGUCCAAGCCUUUGCGCAUACGAUUUUCGCAGCAUCGUUAUUUUUUUUCUCCCGCAUUAAUCAUCGCUCGCCGAUUCCGCCGCCAAUUGAAUUAUCCGAUUUUAUCACGUUUGUGAAACACAUACCUAAAUAUAAAUAAAACGGAGUCACGAAACUUGUAUUACCAAAAAAAAAAAAAUCGUUCUGUGCGUUAUUUCUUUGAUAACAAAAGGUUGAAAAGUGAGUUUCGGUAGACCAAAGGGUGAGUUCGCUAAUUAUUAUAACAUGGUCCUUCGAGCCUUCAGAAAGGCACCUUAAAAAAAAAAAAAAAAAGGAAAAUAAUAACAACAAUAAACAAUUUUUUAAUAAAGUAAAGUGCGGUGACUAUCAUACAUAUACUUAAAACUAUACAAGUGGAAAAAAUAAAAAUAAAACAGUGAAGUGAAAAAUACCUAAAACCAAAAAAAAAAAACAGCAACCAAGCCAAAAGGGCUCAGUGAGCUAAGAUUAAAAAAAAAAAAGAAAAGAAAA
Molecule: long non-coding RNA, 5107 nt
Organism: Bactrocera dorsalis (oriental fruit fly)
Lineage: Eukaryota; Metazoa; Arthropoda; Insecta; Diptera; Tephritidae
Exons: 2
Source: RefSeq, a predicted model, not a curated record